This 573-nucleotide long non-coding RNA is filed under the name Malus domestica (apple). Its description in RNAcentral is "long non-coding RNA (MDOM_LNC016498)". The record is from RNAcentral. Lineage: Eukaryota; Viridiplantae; Streptophyta; Magnoliopsida; Rosales; Rosaceae.
GUUAUUUGCUUGUUUUUGGUGUGAGUAUAUGCUUGAAACAUUGAGGACAAUGUUUGAUUUAAGUGUGGGGGGAGUAACCAUUGUUUUGCAUGAAAUUCGUAGAAAUUUAUCACCCAUUACUUCUAGUGUUGUUCCUUGUUGUUUUAAGUAUUUUUAAGCUGUUUUGGAGUGUUUCAGUGUGUUUUGACAUAAAAAUCCAAAAAUUCAUAAAAAUUUGAAAAAUUGUUUUUGAAAAUCCAAAAAAAAGAGUUGUUUUUGUGCGCUUAUUUGUGUCUUAGGGUACCUUCCAACACAAUGAUGAGGAUUCAGUUUGUAAUUGCAUGACUGUUAAAGAGAGUUAUAAACAUGGAUGAAAGUUUGAUUUACUCUUUAUUUAUGCGUGAUUGUGGUUAUAACUUAUGAAAUCACAUGUAAUCAUAAAAGAAAAAAAUUAGUUUUUUGUAACAUGCUUGAAGGAAAGAACUCAAACUAACGCUACAACCUUGUGAGAAUUGAGCCUAAAUAUUUAUUUGGAGAGUUAAAAUCUGUGCAUUAUUGUUUUCUAAAGUCGUUGCAUGAUCUCAUUAUUCUUUG